UAAACCACAAAUAUCAACGGAGAUAGACUUAUGUUCUAUGUCAUCCCACCACAUGUUCCGGUAUCUGCUUAGCCCACACUAUAAACACUCAGAAAUGUUUGUUUGGUACGUUCUGACUUCUGAGUGUUCUAAAUUCGGCUUGGUUGACGAAAGCAAGAGCUUCUAAUCUAGCUUUACAACUUUUUUUCGGCUUUCUAUGAAUUAUUUUCGAAGCAACGGAAAGUUUAAGAAGAAAUUAAGAUGGCCAUAUAUUGAAUUUAUCACACAAGUCGCAGCGGAGGUACCAUGGAAGCAGGCCAGCUUCUUGUAUCGAGAAUUCAGAUGCCAGUCAUUUCCAAUUAACGGCCACUCCACGAACCAAAAUCUCCAACAAUAGUCACGAUCUCUGGCGAUUUGUGGUAGGGAAUAUAAGUUAGAUUGGCCGAAGCUGUUGGACAUGACGUGCCUUCUCACGCGUUGCCAACCCGGUGCGGUCAUAGUUUUGGACGAUGCACUGAUAGAUAAUACAGCUUUUGAAGUCGAGCAAGAAGCACACGCAUAAUUUUCGCUACUACCGGACAAGAUUCUUUUGAUCAAAUUAUAGGUUCAUGGUCAAGAUUCUUUUGCUUCAUGAGAAAUCGCAUCCAAAAAGCUAACCCACAGUCAACUUGGCCGAAAGAAAAGGGGAAGAGAAAGGAAGGGCAGGCACUCACAUGUCAAAAAUUCAGACAAUAAUGGAGUCUUUAAAAAUAUCCGAGUCGUGCUAAUACAUUUCUACAAGUUGUGGUCUGUGGCAAAAGCUAACAAAAGAAAUCCUACUAUUGAAUUAUAUCAUACUUGAAAGAAGAUGACGAUGAUGCUGCCUCCUGGAAUGACCGCGCGAAUGUGCUGAACAGACACCUCUCUUCAAAAGCAAGCAUCCAGCAGGCAACAGCAGCAGAGUGCCGCUAAACUGCAAAAUAUACAGACUGGCGGUCUCUAGCGUUUUCUAUUUUAAAUUUCGACAAGGAUCAACAAUGUCAGGAAGCAAGAACUGUCCACCUCUCAGCAGCAAAAUGAGGAAUGGAAAGACCUGUAGCCCGUAAAGGGUAUGAAUGGUAUUGACUAGUUCAAUAGAACCACUGAAGUUUUACAAUGUGAAAUAUUUAUAAAUUAUAAUUUUGUUGAGGAAGCGAGUGAAAACUAUUCGCUAUGUUAGGGAGCAUGAAGAAAGUAGAUGGUGAUGAAGGACAAAUGACAGCGAGUGGUGAUGACUAAUAACUAUUCUCGAAGCUGAACGGUUGCCUUCGCCGCUGAUAACAAUCAACAACUAAACCAUCGGAGAGGGUUAGUCAACCGACAGAAUUGUGAAAACUAUUGGCUAUAUACCAAAUUUUUCAAUUUCGUCCUUAUUUCGCGAAGGAUGAUUAGCGGGGUCAAUACUCAAUACCCAAAAGCCGAAACCUUUAUCCUCCCACGCUGGGGUAAGGGAUCAAUGAAGAAGACAGGCUGUUGCAGUUGCAGUAGCCCAAAGAGGACAAUCCAGUCCAAUGACGACAUAACAAAACCUUGAUGGUGUGUUUGGGUUGGACUGCCGUAACUUAGACCCAAACCCUCCUUUUGGUUUCACCACAUUGUUGUGUAACGUAAUACCUCCUUUUUAUCAAAAAAAGAAAGAAAAGAAAAACACAAUACCUUGUCGUGUAACCAAAAAACAAGUGCUUUGUUGUUCGGAUAUGAAUUUUUACACUGUGUCAGUAGUCGAUCGUUAAA
This is a long non-coding RNA of Prosopis cineraria, 1731 nucleotides long. RefSeq lists it as uncharacterized. NCBI's taxonomy places the organism in Eukaryota, Viridiplantae, Streptophyta, Magnoliopsida, Fabales, Fabaceae. The transcript is spliced from 2 exons. The record is from RefSeq and is a predicted model, not a curated record.